UACGUAGGGGGCAAGCGUUGUCCGGAAUCAUUGGGCGUAAAGCGCGUGUAGGCGGCUUGGUAAGUCUGCUCUGAAAGCCCGGGGCUCAACCCCGGGAGGCGGGUGGAUACUGCUGAGCUCGAGUCCGGAAGAGGCGAGUGGAAUUCCUGGUGUAGCGGUGAAAUGCGCAGAUAUCAGGAGGAACACCAAUGGCGAAGGCAGCUCGCUGGGACGGUACUGACGCUGAGACGCGAAAGCGUGGGGAGCAAACAGGAUUAGAUACCCUGGUAGUCCACGCCGUAAACGAUGGACACUAGGUGUGGGGGGUGUCGACUCCCCCCGUGCCGAAGCUAACGCAUUAAGUGUCCCGCCUGGGGAGUACGGCCGCAAGGCUAAA
This 376-nucleotide ribosomal RNA is filed under the name uncultured bacterium. RNAcentral's name for it is "bacterial SSU rRNA". It matches the Rfam family "Bacterial small subunit ribosomal RNA", at positions 524 to 898 of the family's 1533-position model. The record is from RNAcentral.